Molecule: non-coding RNA, 84 nt
Filed under: Enterobacter cloacae
Lineage: Bacteria; Pseudomonadati; Pseudomonadota; Gammaproteobacteria; Enterobacterales; Enterobacteriaceae
Source: RNAcentral
CAAUGGUGGGCUGGGCGGGGGCGUCGCAAGACGCGCCGGUACACUCCAAGCCGGUAAUGCCAACUCCGUUCAGACCUGCCACCC